AAUUUUCUUCCAUUAAGAGCAUGUUCAUAUAAACAGGAACUUGAGGAGGAAGGAGGGUCAGAAGAUGGAGCCAGCUCAGAGGAGCUAUCAGCAGGAGAAAGGAGGGAGAGGAAUUCCCAACAACCCCACCUCCCGCUACCCUCCACAGCCGUGUGUUCUUCUGCCUCUCUUUUCUUUUGGCAAGCAGGUUGCCAGUGGGUUGCUAAUAAGUUCUAUUCUCAGAGGCAAAAC
Non-coding RNA from Phalacrocorax carbo (great cormorant), 231 nucleotides. The record is from RefSeq and is a predicted model, not a curated record. NCBI's taxonomy places the organism in Eukaryota, Metazoa, Chordata, Aves, Suliformes, Phalacrocoracidae.